GAUUUGUCUAGUACAACCCUUCUUAAUUAUUGCCUUUCAUUACUGUUGCAGUAUUUCCAGGUGAUUGUUACUUUCAUUGCUGCUGAAUUUAUCUCUCAGGGAUUUCUUGGGAUUUGGUUUAUAAAGAUGAAGACCAAAGAGUCUGAGCUCACUGCCUACUUAAGAAACAACUACCCUUUGGCAUUCCUGGCAGCUGUGCAGUCUGUCCCUGUGAAACAUCAUCUUUUUCUGAGACAUCUAAACCUUCAUCUCCCCAGCAUUGCUUACAGCUCUGAAAUUUCACUUGAAGUCUAUUACCCAGUAAUUAGUGUAUUGAAUUAGACCUGUAUGUUUCAUAGCUGUAGUGCCUCAAUCAAAAUGUUCCACAGUACUGAAUCAAAUAUCCCAUCAUGGAAAUUAUUUUAACCCUAUUGCUGUUAUCAAAAAGCCCCAAAGCCUCAUAACGUUAUUUUAAAAAGUAGUUUGAGAUAGGUUCAUGGGAAAAGGCUAUGCAAAUACGAGUUCCCUGGAGAGUACCUUCUUAUCAAAUCCAGUGCUGGUUACUUCAUUUUGCUUAGGACUGAGGGUAGUUUGCCAGGCCUGAGGAUUACUUCAUCAUCUUGUUUACCCUUUUGAGUAAGCCCAUCAGAUGGCACUGUUGCACAUAAUCUUGUAAAUUCUCUCAGCCCAUUUGAGCAAAAUUUUAGUCCUGUAAGAAAAGGGUUUUGUUGAGUCUUUUUUUCCCCCCAGAUCCUAUUGCAUAUGCCCUCAUUAGGAUCCACGAGAGGCAGUCACUGCUUUUUUUGUUGGACUGCCUGCCACAGAAGCUUUUUCACCAGAUAGAGAUUUCUGACCUUGAGAAUCAGGCAUAGGCAUCUGAACAGUGGUCCUCAAAAGGAAAGAAAUUCCUCGAGUAGUGUGCAAGUGUAUUAUAAAACUAGUUGCAUUAAGACAGGACUAGUAUAACACUGAUAACAACGGCAAAGCUGAAAAGCCAUUGUGGAAAAGAAGUCAUUCUCCCUUUCCUCAAUUCUUCCUCUCUUGCCUGUCAUGAAAGUGUAACUGUCAUACAGGUGGGUCCAUCU
Molecule: long non-coding RNA, 1064 nt
Filed under: Lepidothrix coronata (blue-crowned manakin)
Lineage: Eukaryota; Metazoa; Chordata; Aves; Passeriformes; Pipridae
Description: lncRNA (ENSLCOG00000000059.1)
Source: RNAcentral